Molecule: non-coding RNA, 216 nt
Filed under: Aeribacillus pallidus
Lineage: Bacteria; Bacillati; Bacillota; Bacilli; Caryophanales; Bacillaceae
Description: T-box sequence
Rfam family: T-box leader
About the family: Uncharged tRNA acts as the effector for transcription antitermination of genes in the T-box leader family.
Source: RNAcentral
ACUUGAGCGUUGAUUGGAGAAAGUAGCAGGCAUUUCCCUGUUUCAGAGAGCUGAUGGCCGGUGCGAAUCAGCACAUAAAUGCUUUGUGAAUUACCUCCAUGAGCAUUCUUUGUGAAAGUGAAGUAGCAAAGGACGGUUUUAGCCGUUAUCAGAAUGAGUGAAGAACAUGCAAAUGUUCUUAAGCAGGGUGGUACCGCGUAAUUAUACGUCCCUUCA